RNAcentral lists this unclassified non-coding RNA (304 nucleotides) under uncultured Sordariales. Its description in RNAcentral is "sequence contains ITS1". The stretch from base 1 to 105 matches the Rfam family "5.8S ribosomal RNA", at positions 50 to 154 of the family's 154-position model. Lineage: Eukaryota; Fungi; Ascomycota; Sordariomycetes; Sordariales. The record is from RNAcentral.
GAAAUGCGAUAAGUAAUGUGAAUUGCAGAAUUCAGUGAAUCAUCGAAUCUUUGAACGCACAUUGCGCCCGCCAGUACUCUGGCGGGCAUGCCUGUUCGAGCGUCAUUUCAACCCUCAAGCCCUGCUUGGUGUUGGGGCCCUACGGCUGCCGUAGGCCCUGAAAGGAAGUGGCGGGCUCGCUGCAACUCCGAGCGUAGUAGAAUGCUAUCUCGCUAGGGAGGCUGCGGCGGCGCUCCGGCCGUUAAAGACCCAUCUUUAACCCAAGGUUGACCUCGGAUCAGGUAGGAAUACCCGCUGAACUUAA